AUACUCUGGUUUUUCUUCAGAUCGCAUAGAUCUUCUGCCUUUUUCUAAAGCUUUCAGUGGAAAGAAACAACUCUGAAUCUUAAUCCAAUUUUUUGAAUCCUUGCAGAUAGCAAGGCU
Molecule: small nuclear RNA, 117 nt
Organism: Nannospalax galili (Upper Galilee mountains blind mole rat)
Lineage: Eukaryota; Metazoa; Chordata; Mammalia; Rodentia; Spalacidae
Gene: U5
Rfam family: U5 spliceosomal RNA
About the family: U5 RNA is a component of both types of known spliceosome.
Source: Ensembl